CUUCAAUGAUGUAUCAGAUGAAGUUUCAAAUUGCAAGCACUUGGUUACAGGAAAGUUGGCAUUGGCCAAGUCCUUUUGCAUAGGGAUGUUGCCUAGAUUCUAAGACCAAUUGUCCAAGAUCAAACCAAUAGUGCACACAAUAGUUUUUUUAAGGUUUUUUGUUUCUUAUUAUGUACAUUAAUGGUCAAAGACCACACAAACAAACAAAAUAU
This 212-nucleotide long non-coding RNA is filed under the name Lathyrus oleraceus (garden pea). RNAcentral's name for it is "Pisum sativum (pea) long non-coding RNA (PSAT_LNC023771)". The record is from RNAcentral. Lineage: Eukaryota; Viridiplantae; Streptophyta; Magnoliopsida; Fabales; Fabaceae.